RNAcentral lists this long non-coding RNA (1035 nucleotides) under Drosophila guanche. The record is from RNAcentral. Lineage: Eukaryota; Metazoa; Arthropoda; Insecta; Diptera; Drosophilidae.
UUCAGUGAAACCCAAAGACUCCAAUGCAAUGGUUCUCAAAUGUGUCCUUAUUGCCACUCUGAUGCUGACUUUAGUUACUCUAAAUUGCGACUGCAUUAAGUGGGAUGCGCCCGUUACAAGUAAUAACUAAAGAAUUUGCCGAAUUAUCAUUGCAAGUGGGAAUUACUUUUUUUCAAUUGUAGUUUGCCAUGUGAUAGGACACUGUCUUAGCGAAGAAGUCUAUUGCUAUGGACGCAAGGUGGAAGAUAAAACAUGCGGAAAAUCAUCACGUUGCUGCCUACGUAAAUUUGUACCAAAAGCAAAGCCAAUUUAUUCGUUUUAGUAAUCAUUAAAAAUGUAUGAAUAAAAUAAACGCUCUAUAAAAUUAAUUAGUCAUUAUUACACAAUGUGCAGAAUAUAAGAUUUGGAAGGUUUGACACUACUUAAGAAAUUCAAGCGAGAAUAAUUCGAUUGAGUGAAGCUUCAUUAUAGCAUUCGGCCACCCUCAAUUUGUUUGUAUAGCCUGUGGAAUUGAUUGGAAUCGCGACUUAGUACAAUAUUUGUAGUACAUUUAAAAGUAAGGUUCUAAUUGUAUAUGAGAAGAGAAAGCGCAGUGGAUGACUAUAAAAUGUUGGUGAAAUAUUUGGUGUAUUUAGUACUGACCUUUGCCUUUGUAUAUGGUGAUGAUGAAAAGAAUAAACGUAUUUAUGAGCAAAAAGUGGCCUCUGCAACGUUAUCGGGUAAGUUGCAAAUGGCUCAUCUUUACAGAUGAAUUAUAAAUGAUUAAAUCGAACAGGUCCUUGCCAAGCAUCACGCAAGGGAAGGUGUAAAAAUAUUCACGGAAAAUGCAGUGGUCAUAAGUAUCAAGUUCCAGAAUGCCAAAUGCCUUCAGUUUGCUGUGUCAAGGCGAGAGUUCAAUUUAAGAGAAUUGAGGGCCUAGAUCCGGCCUAUUUCGAAUGAUUUUUAUGCUCAACUCUGUUGUCUACAAUAAAAUGCAUACAAUGCAGUUCCAAAUGUUUUCCCUUCUUCUUGGCACUCUGCAUGGCAUUGCGAGGG